GAUGAACGCUGGCGGCGUGCCUAAUACAUGCAAGUCGAGCGAAUAGACGAGGCUUUCGCCUCUCUGACGUUACCGGCGGACGGGUGAGUCACACGUGGCUACCCUAUCUAUAAGACUGGGGUAACUUCGGGGAACCGGAUCCAAUACCCGAUAAUAUAUUGAACGGCAUGGUUCAAUGGUCAUAGACGGUUUUGCUGUCACUUAUUGGUGUAUCCGCGCCGCAUUAGCUAGUUGGUAAGGUAACGGCUUACCAAGGCGACGAUGCGUAGCUGACCUGAGAGGAUGAUCAGCCACACUGGAACUGAGACACGGUCCAGACUCCUACGGGAGGCAGCAGUGGGGAAUAUUGGGCAAUGGGCGAAAGCCUGACGGAGCAACGCCGCGUGAGUGAAGAAGGUCUUCGGAUCGUAAAACUCUGUUAGUAGGGAAGAACAGAUGUAUAAGAAACUAUGGCCGUCUUGACGGUACCAAAUGAGAAAGCCACGGCUAACUACGUG
RNAcentral lists this ribosomal RNA (497 nucleotides) under uncultured bacterium. Its description in RNAcentral is "partial 16S ribosomal RNA". It matches the Rfam family "Bacterial small subunit ribosomal RNA", at positions 28 to 507 of the family's 1533-position model. The record is from RNAcentral.